GUUUUCCAGCAGUCACUGAUGCAGCUUGUUUUCCAAGGGAAUCCCAGCUUGGACGUGGCUGUAGUUGUGCUUGGAAGUUGAGAGCCAGCUUGGGGUGUUGGAGACUGCCACUGUGAGUAGGUGGGCAUGCACGCUGCUAAAGGUUCCCCCUAAAUUGGGUACAAAUUCGGUCAUAUCCCUCCAGCUGUUCGUAAGAGUCCUCAGAGAUCUCAGACUCCAUUGCAUGUUGGAUGUCA
Molecule: non-coding RNA, 236 nt
Organism: Pelobates cultripes (western spadefoot toad)
Lineage: Eukaryota; Metazoa; Chordata; Amphibia; Anura; Pelobatidae
Source: the annotation of a GenBank genome assembly